Molecule: ribosomal RNA, 158 nt
Filed under: Calceolaria parviflora
Lineage: Eukaryota; Viridiplantae; Streptophyta; Magnoliopsida; Lamiales; Calceolariaceae
Description: 5.8S ribosomal RNA
Rfam family: 5.8S ribosomal RNA
About the family: 5.8S ribosomal RNA (5.8S rRNA) is a component of the large subunit of the eukaryotic ribosome.
Source: RNAcentral
AAAUGACUCUCGGCAACGGAUAUCUCGGCUCUCGCAUCGAUGAAGAACGAGCGAAAUGCGAUACUUGGUGUGAAUUGCAGAAUCCCGUGAACCAUCGAGUCUUUGAACGCAAGUUGCGCCCGAAGCCACCAGGCCGAGGGCACGUCUGCCUGGGCGUC